ACGUCAUUUCCUCCUUUUCCUUUCACCUUUUUCAAGGCUUCGCCCCUAGAGCAGUGGGACUCUGGUAUGGACCGGUUUCCUGUGAGAUCUUGCUCCGUCUCACAAGAUCCUAUGCAGGCCUGUAUCUGGAACAGCUUGUCAUCGAUCUCGCCCUCUAUCGCUCAGCGACCUAGGAGGCCCCAGGACUGCAGUCUGCUUACCUGUUUAAAAAAUUGAUUCUCACCCCUGACCACACCUCUGAGGAUUCGGACCUUCUGGAAGAUGAACAGUUCAUAUUUGACCAAGAUCACAUAAAUAGGAGUUGGGGGAUUGGAACCUACUAUGACCGACUUCAAAUUAAUGCAGUUUGUAGUCACUUAUAUAAUAAUGGUAAAGGCAUUUUUUGCUAUACAGAGUGGGUAAACUCACUGAGGGAAUAAAGCAACAUAUGACACACAUGAGGCAACAUGACAGGGAAGAUCAGCAGAGGAAACAAGUAGCAGAAAAGCAAGGAAAAUUACAUUUCCCAUUUCCAAAGUAAAUUUAAAAAGAAUGAAAAGUAGGGCCAGGGAUUUAGCUCAGUGGUGCCACCGCCUGCCUUGAAAGCCCAUGGUCUUGAGUUCGAUCCCCAGUACAAAAAAAAAUGAAAAAUAAAAGCAAAAAUUGCCUGGGAUUUAGCUCAGCGGUGCCACAUCUGCCUGGCAAGCACAAGGUCCUGAGUUCCAUUCCCAGUACCCCCCAAAAAGCAAAAAUUAAUGAAAUAGCCAAUAAAAUUGAUCAUAAUAAUAUCUGGUAUUUGAAAAGAACAAUAGACACUUUGCAAAUCCAAGGAAGUAGAGAAAAAAUAUUGGAAACAGCUGGGUGUAGUGGCCCACACCUGUAACCCCAGCACUUGUGAGGCUGAGGCAGGAGGAUCACUGUGAGUUCAAGCUCAGCUUGGGCUGGUGAGUUCAAGCCCAGACUGGACUACAUAGUGAGACCCUGUCUCAAACUCCUCCCCCACUUAGAAACAAAGGAAGCAUACUACAUAUGAGGAGACUUAGUAAAUCAAAAAUGAAUUAUGGGGCUGGGGAUUUAGCUCAGUGGUUCCACCGCCUCCUUUGCAAGACCAAGGUUCCGAGUUCAAUCCCUAGUCCAAAAAAAAAAAAAAAAUGAAUUAUGUAGCCUUUACUAAUAAUCUUGAAAAUUGACUUGAAAAAUUUCUAGAAAAAUAUAAAUUUCAAAACUUGGCUCAAGAGUUAGAAAAUCUUGAACUGAUAGACAUGAAAGCAUGUCCUAAAGUAGGGUAUCAUCAAAAGUCACCAGGAACAAAGCAUAAAGAAGGAUAGAGUGUUUCCUAACUCUACCUUUGUCAAAAUUUUAAAUAAACCUGUAAACCUGCAAGUGUCUGGUUGUAAAGGCUUCAAAAUAAUGUGCAAGGCCAGGGAUUUAGCUCAGUGGUUCCUCUGCCUGCCUUGCAAACGCAAGGACCCAAGUUCAAUCCCUGGUACCAACAAAAAGCAAAAUAAUGUGCAGAUAUAUGUAAUAUGAUAGUCAUGAUAACUUUGCAAUUUUUUAAAAUCUUGACUUCAUUAGUAAAAGGAUUGCUAAGUAAGAUUACAUUUACAAUACAAAAUAUUACAUACUGGUAGAAAUACAAUUCUGCAGGCAUUAAUAUGGAAAAAUUAAAAAAGAGUAUAGACAGUGAAAAUUAUACAAGAUACUACAUAUGUGACUUAAUUUUUAACAAUUAUCUUGUAAAAGAAUAAGUUUGGAGAGGAUCUAUACCAAAUUGUUAACUGUUGGUUAUAGAGCGAGAGGAUGUGAAAGAUGUUUUUUAUAUUUGUAUUGUUUAUUUUUUUAUUUUUCUUUAAUUUUUACUAAGUAAAAAUGUAGAAAGAAACAUGUACCAUCAUGCAAAAGAAAGUAUUUUCAAAGAAUAAGGGAUUAGGAAAGAUUAAAAGACUAAAACACA
This is a long non-coding RNA of Heterocephalus glaber (naked mole-rat), 1933 nucleotides long. RefSeq lists it as uncharacterized. The record is from RefSeq and is a predicted model, not a curated record. Lineage: Eukaryota; Metazoa; Chordata; Mammalia; Rodentia; Bathyergidae.